RNAcentral lists this ribosomal RNA (253 nucleotides) under uncultured bacterium. RNAcentral describes it as "partial 16S ribosomal RNA". It matches the Rfam family "Bacterial small subunit ribosomal RNA", at positions 524 to 776 of the family's 1533-position model. The record is from RNAcentral.
UACGUAGGGUGCAAGCGUUGCCCGGAUUUAUUGGGCGUAAAGGGCGCGUAGGCGGCUCGGCACGUCCGUGGUGAAAUCGCCCGGCUCAACUGGGCGGGGUCAGCGGAUACGGCAGAGCUUGAGCAAGCUAGGGGGCAAUGGAAUUCCCGGUGUAGUGGUGGAAUGCGUAGAUAUCGGGAGGAACACCAGUGGCGAAGGCGGUUGCCUGGGGCUUUGCUGACGCUGAUGCGCGAAAGCGUGGGGAGCGAUCCGG